UACAGAGGUCUCAAGCGUUGUUCGGAUUCAUUGGGCGUAAAGGGUGUGUAGGUGGCGCGCUAAGUCGGGUGUGAAAUCUCGGAGCUUAACUCCGAAACUGCAUUCGAUACUGCCGUGCUUGAGGACUGGAGAGGAGACUGGAAUUUACGGUGUAGCGGUGAAAUGCGUAGAUAUCGUAAGGAAGACCAGUGGCGAAGGCGGGUCUCUGGACAGUUCCUGACGCUGAGGCACGAAGGUCAGGGGAGCAAACGGG
RNAcentral lists this ribosomal RNA (253 nucleotides) under uncultured bacterium. RNAcentral describes it as "partial 16S ribosomal RNA". It matches the Rfam family "Bacterial small subunit ribosomal RNA", at positions 524 to 776 of the family's 1533-position model. The record is from RNAcentral.